CACGUAGGGGGCAAGCGUUGUCCGGAAUCAUUGGGCGUAAAGAGCUCGUAGGCGGCUUGUCACGUCGGGUGUGAAAGCCCGGGGCUUAACCCCGGGUCUGCAUUCGAUACGGGCUAGCUAGAGUGUGGUAGGGGAGAUCGGAAUUCCUGGUGUAGCGGUGAAAUGCGCAGAUAUCAGGAGGAACACCGGUGGCGAAGGCGGAUCUCUGGGCCAUUACUGACGCUGAGGAGCGAAAGCGUGGGGAGCGAACAGG
Molecule: ribosomal RNA, 253 nt
Filed under: uncultured bacterium
Lineage: Bacteria
Description: partial 16S ribosomal RNA
Rfam family: Bacterial small subunit ribosomal RNA
Source: RNAcentral